RNAcentral lists this transfer RNA (76 nucleotides) under Caldisericia bacterium. RNAcentral describes it as "tRNA-Thr". It matches the Rfam family "tRNA". From Rfam's summary of the family: Transfer RNA (tRNA) molecules are approximately 80 nucleotides in length. Their secondary structure includes four short double-helical elements and three loops (D, anti-codon, and T loops). Further hydrogen bonds mediate the characteristic L-shaped molecular structure. tRNAs have two regions of fundamental functional importance: the anti-codon, which is responsible for specific mRNA codon recognition, and the 3' end, to which the tRNAs corresponding amino acid is attached (by aminoacyl-tRNA synthetases). tRNAs cope with the degeneracy of the genetic code in two manners: having more than one tRNA (with a specific anti-codon) for a particular amino acid; and 'wobble' base-pairing, i.e. permitting non-standard base-pairing at the 3rd anti-codon position. The record is from RNAcentral. Lineage: Bacteria; Pseudomonadati; Caldisericota; Caldisericia.
GCCCACGUAGCUCAGUUGGUAGAGCAUGUCCUUGGUAAGGACAAGGUCAGCAGUCCGAUUCUGCUCGUGGGCUCCA